GCCAGCAGCCGCGGUAAUACGUAGGCAGCAAGCGUUGUUCGGAGUUACUGGGCGUAAAGGGUGCGUAGGCGGCUUUUUAAGUUUGGUGUGAAAUCUCCCGGCUCAACUGGGAGGGUGCGCCGAAUACUGAGAGGCUAGGGUGUGGGAGAGGAAAGUGGAAUUCCUGGUGUAGCGGUGAAAUGCGUAGAUAUCAGGAGGAACACCGGUGGUGUAAACGGCUUUCUGGACCAUAACUGACGCUGAGGCACGAAAGCGUGGGUAGCAAACAGGAUUAGAUACCCUGGUAGUCCACGCCCUAAACGAUGCAUAUUUGGUGUGGGCCAUUCAUUUGGUCUGUGCCGGAGCUAACGCGUUAAAUAUGCCGCCUGGGGAGUACAGUCGCAAGGCUGAAACUCAAAGGAAUUGAUCGGGGGCCCGCACAAG
Molecule: ribosomal RNA, 423 nt
Filed under: uncultured bacterium
Lineage: Bacteria
Description: bacterial SSU rRNA
Rfam family: Bacterial small subunit ribosomal RNA
Source: RNAcentral